UACGUAGGGUGCAAGCGUUGUUCGGAAUCAUUGGGCGUAAAGCGCGUGUAGGUGGUUUGCUAAGUCGGGUGUGAAAUCCCUGGGCUCAACCCAGGAAGUGCAUUCGAAACUGGCUGGCUAGAAGAUGGUAGAGGAAGGUGGAAUUCCAAGUGUAGAGGUGAAAUUCGUAGAUAUUUGGAGGAAUACCAGCGGCGAAGGCGGCCUUCUGGACCAUUCUUGACACUGAGACGCGAAAGCGUGGGUAGCAAACAGG
Molecule: ribosomal RNA, 253 nt
Filed under: uncultured bacterium
Lineage: Bacteria
Description: partial 16S ribosomal RNA
Rfam family: Bacterial small subunit ribosomal RNA
Source: RNAcentral